ACCAAGUCUUAGAUCUAAAUGGUCUGGUCCAUGUGGCCUCUGCUGAGAUAUCACGUUCCUUGGUCCGUGCAGAGUGGGUGGGCUUGAAGUCAGGAAGACUCAUCUUGGUUAUUUACCCUGAUUAUCCGAUAAUCCUAAUCCUCUGGAAGGAAUGCUCCUACCAUCUGAGAACUCAUUUCUUUUAAGGAAGUGGUGAAUUUUCACUGAUAUAAAAUAUAUCAAAUAUGGAGGAAGAAGUGACAAUGAGCCACUCAAGUGAGAUAGUAGAUUUUUAGAAACUGAACACCUACA
Non-coding RNA from Phascolarctos cinereus (koala), 291 nucleotides. NCBI's taxonomy places the organism in Eukaryota, Metazoa, Chordata, Mammalia, Diprotodontia, Phascolarctidae. The record is from RefSeq and is a predicted model, not a curated record.